This 802-nucleotide ribosomal RNA is filed under the name uncultured bacterium. RNAcentral describes it as "bacterial SSU rRNA". It matches the Rfam family "Bacterial small subunit ribosomal RNA", at positions 51 to 870 of the family's 1533-position model. The record is from RNAcentral.
ACACAUGCAAGUCGAACGAAGUUUUUCUUUCGGGAGGAACUUAGUGGCGGACGGGUGAGUAACGCGUGGGUAACCUGCCCUGUACAGGGGGACAACAGCUGGAAACGGCUGCUAAUACCGCAUAAGCCCUUAGCACUGCAUGGUGCAUAGGGAAAAGGAGUAAUCCGGUACAGGAUGGACCCGCGUCUGAUUAGCCAGUUGGCAGGGUAACGGCCUACCAAAACGACGAUCAGUAGCCGAUCUGAGAGGAUGUACGGCCACAUUGGGACUGAGACACGGCCCAGACUCCUACGGGAGGCAGCAGUGGGGAAUAUUGCACAAUGGAGGAAACUCUGAUGCAGCGACGCCGCGUGAGUGAAGAAGUAUUUCGGUAUGUAAAGCUCUAUCAGCAGGGAAGAAAAUGACGGUACCUGACUAAGAAGCACCGGCUAAAUACGUGCCAGCAGCCGCGGUAAUACGUAUGGUGCAAACGUUAUCCGGAUUUACUGGGUGUAAAGGGAGCGUAGGUGGCAAGGCAAGCCAGAAGUGAAAACCCGGGGCUCAACCGCGGGAUUGCUUUUGGAACUGUCAUGCUAGAGUGCAGGAGGGGUGAGCGGAAUUCCUAGUGUAGCGGUGAAAUGCGUAGAUAUUAGGAGGAACACCGGAGGCGAAGGCGGCUCACUGGACUGUAACUGACACUGAGGCUCGAAAGCGUGGGGAGCAAACAGGAUUAGAUACCCUGGUAGUCCACGCGGUAAACGAUGAAUACUAGAUGUCGGGAAGCAUUGCUUCUCGGUGUCGUCGCAAACGCAAUAAGUAUUCC